RNAcentral lists this transfer RNA (76 nucleotides) under Alphaproteobacteria bacterium. Its description in RNAcentral is "tRNA-Thr". It matches the Rfam family "tRNA". From Rfam's summary of the family: Transfer RNA (tRNA) molecules are approximately 80 nucleotides in length. Their secondary structure includes four short double-helical elements and three loops (D, anti-codon, and T loops). Further hydrogen bonds mediate the characteristic L-shaped molecular structure. tRNAs have two regions of fundamental functional importance: the anti-codon, which is responsible for specific mRNA codon recognition, and the 3' end, to which the tRNAs corresponding amino acid is attached (by aminoacyl-tRNA synthetases). tRNAs cope with the degeneracy of the genetic code in two manners: having more than one tRNA (with a specific anti-codon) for a particular amino acid; and 'wobble' base-pairing, i.e. permitting non-standard base-pairing at the 3rd anti-codon position. RNAcentral also lists the same sequence under 1 other name. Lineage: Bacteria; Pseudomonadati; Pseudomonadota; Alphaproteobacteria. The record is from RNAcentral.
GCUGGCAUGGCUCAAUUGGUAGAGCACCCGAUUUGUAAUCGGGCGGUUGGGAGUUCGAGUCUCUCUGCCAGCACCA